CCUACGGGAGGCAGCAGUGGGGAAUAUGGACAAUGGGCGCAAGCCUGAUCCAGCAAUGCCGCGUGAGUGAUGAAGGCCUUAGGGUUGUAAAGCUCUUUCGCACGUGACGAUGAUGACGGUAACGUGAGAAGAAGCCCCGGCUAACUUCGUGCCAGCAGCCGCGGUAAA
RNAcentral lists this ribosomal RNA (168 nucleotides) under uncultured bacterium. Its description in RNAcentral is "partial 16S ribosomal RNA". It matches the Rfam family "Bacterial small subunit ribosomal RNA", at positions 338 to 524 of the family's 1533-position model. The record is from RNAcentral.